RNAcentral lists this ribosomal RNA (253 nucleotides) under uncultured bacterium. RNAcentral describes it as "partial 16S ribosomal RNA". It matches the Rfam family "Bacterial small subunit ribosomal RNA", at positions 524 to 776 of the family's 1533-position model. The record is from RNAcentral.
UACGAAGGGGGCUAGCGUUGCUCGGAAUCACUGGGCGUAAAGCGCACGUAGGCGGCUUUCUAAGUCAGGGGUGAAAUCCUGGAGCUCAACUCCAGAACUGCCUUUGAUACUGGAGAGCUAGAGUCCGGAAGAGGUGAGUGGAACUGCGAGUGUAGAGGUGAAAUUCGUAGAUAUUCGCAAGAACACCAGUGGCGAAGGCGGCUCACUGGCCCGAUACUGACGCUGAGGCACGAAAGCGUGGGGAGCAAACAGG